This 491-nucleotide ribosomal RNA is filed under the name uncultured bacterium. RNAcentral's name for it is "partial 16S ribosomal RNA". It matches the Rfam family "Bacterial small subunit ribosomal RNA", at positions 29 to 506 of the family's 1533-position model. The record is from RNAcentral.
AGUGAACGCUGGCGGUAGGCCUAACACAUGCAAGUCGAACGGCAGCACAGUAAGAGCUUGCUCUUACGGGUGGCGAGUGGCGGACGGGUGAGGAAUACAUCGGAAUCUACUUUUUCGUGGGGGAUAACGUAGGGAAACUUACGCUAAUACCGCAUACGACCUACGGGUGAAAGCAGGGGAUCUUCGGACCUUGCGCGAUUGAAUGAGCCGAUGUCGGAUUAGCUAGUUGGCGGGGUAAAGGCCCACCAAGGCGACGAUCCGUAGCUGGUCUGAGAGGAUGAUCAGGCACACUGGAACUGAGACACGGUCCAGGCUCCGACGGGAGGCAGCAGUGGGGAAUAUUGGACAAUGGGCGCAAGCCUGAUCCAGCCAUACCGCGUGGGUGAAGAAGGCCUUCGGGUUGUAAAGCCCUUUUGUUGGGAAAGAAAAGCAGCAGGUUAAUACCCCGCUGUUCUGACGGUACCCAAAGAAUAAGCACCGGCUAACUUCGU